GGCCGGUAUUUAGCUUUAGAAGAAAUUUACCUCCCAUUUAGAGCUGCAUUCCCAAACAACUCGACUCGUCGAAGGGGCUUUACACGGCAAAGGCAGGCGCCCACGUACGGGAUUCUCACCCUCUGCGAUGUCCUGUUCCAAGGAACUUAGACCGCCGCCUAUGCCAAAGCACCCUCUGCAAAUUACAACUCGGACUCCCAAAGGAGCCAGAUUUCAAAUUUGAGCUGUUGCCGCUUCACUCGCCGUUACUAGGACAAUCCCUGUUGGUUUCUUUUCCUCCGCUUAUUGAUAUGCUUAAGUUCAGCGGGUAUCCCUACCUGAUCCGAGGUCAAAGACGGUAAAUAGCUUUAUGGUCGCGCCCACGGCACCCCAAUGAACGCAUUGUACUGCGCGUUGAGGUGCCAGAGACCGCUGCCAAUGACUUUGGGGCGAGUCCACGCGCAAAGGCGGGACAGACGCCCAACACCAAGCAGUGCUUGAGGGUGUAGAUGACGCUCGAACAGGCAUGCCCCACGGAAUACCAUGGGGCGCAAUGUGCGUUCAAAGAUUCGAUGAUUCACUGAAUUCUGCAAUUCACACUACUUAUCGCAUUUCGCUGCGUUCUUCAUCGAUGCCAGAGCCAAGAGAUCCAUUGUUGAAAGUUGUAAUAAUUGAUUGUUAUCAGAACAGGUAAUGCUAAAUGCAAGUUGGUUCUUGAGUUCCAGCGGCGGGUAGACCCCGCCGAAGGAGAAUAAUAGGUACUCGUAGAGAAGGGUUAGGUCAGCCCCGCGCCGGUUUCCCGGACACGGAGGCGUCGCUAGAAAAUGACUGUCGCUCACGCCGAAGCGCUCACGGCAGCCAAAGGUAAUGAUCCUUCCGCAGGUUCACCUACGGAAACCUUGUUACGACUUUUACUUCCUCUAAAUGACCGAGUUUGACCAACUUUCCGGCUUGAGGUGGUCGUUGCCAACCUCCUCGAGCCAGUCCGAAGGCCUCACUGAGCCAUUCAAUCGGUAGUAGCGACGGGCGGUGUGUACA
This 1017-nucleotide ribosomal RNA is filed under the name uncultured Ascomycota. RNAcentral's name for it is "partial 28S ribosomal RNA". Lineage: Eukaryota; Fungi; Ascomycota. The record is from RNAcentral.